RNAcentral lists this ribosomal RNA (253 nucleotides) under uncultured bacterium. RNAcentral describes it as "partial 16S ribosomal RNA". It matches the Rfam family "Bacterial small subunit ribosomal RNA", at positions 524 to 776 of the family's 1533-position model. The record is from RNAcentral.
UACGAAGGGGGCUAGCGUUGCUCGGAAUCACUGGGCGUAAAGGGUGCGUAGGCGGGUCUUUAAGUCAGGGGUGAAAUCCUGGAGCUCAACUCCAGAACUGCCUUUGAUACUGAGGAUCUUGAGUUCGGGAGAGGUGAGUGGAACUGCGAGUGUAGAGGUGAAAUUCGUAGAUAUUCGGAAGAACACCAGUGGCGAAGGCGGCUCACUGGCCCGGUACUGACGCUGAGAUACGAAAGCGUGGGGAGCAAACAGG